CCGGAUUUAUUGGGCGUAAAGCGAGCGCAGGCGGUUUCUUAAGUCUGAUGUGAAAGCCCCCGGCUCAACCGGGGAGGGUCAUUGGAAACUGGGAAACUUGAGUGCAGAAGAGGAGAGUGGAAUUCCAUGUGUAGCGGUGAAAUGCGUAGAUAUAUGGAGGAACACCAGUGGCGAAGGCGGCUCUCUGGUCUGUAACUGACGCUGAGGCUCGAAAGCGUGGGGAGCAAACAGGAUUAGAUACCCUGGUAGUCCACGCCGUAAACGAUGUCUACUUGGAGGUUGUGCCCUUGAGGCGUGGCUUCCGGAGCUAACGCGUUAAGUAGACCGCCUGGGGAGUACGGCCGCAAGGUUAAAACUCAAAUGAAUUGACGGGGGCCCGCACAAGCGGUGGAGCAUGUGGUUUAAUUCGAUGCAACGCGAAGAACCCUACCUGGGCUUGACAUCCACAGAACCUUCCAUAGAUGGAUUGGUGCCUUCGGGACCUGUGAGACAGGUGCUGCAUGGCUGUCGUCAGCUCGUGUUGUGAAAU
Molecule: ribosomal RNA, 529 nt
Filed under: Salmonella enterica subsp. enterica serovar Schwarzengrund
Lineage: Bacteria; Pseudomonadati; Pseudomonadota; Gammaproteobacteria; Enterobacterales; Enterobacteriaceae
Description: bacterial SSU rRNA
Rfam family: Bacterial small subunit ribosomal RNA
Source: RNAcentral